RNAcentral lists this ribosomal RNA (253 nucleotides) under uncultured bacterium. RNAcentral describes it as "partial 16S ribosomal RNA". It matches the Rfam family "Bacterial small subunit ribosomal RNA", at positions 524 to 776 of the family's 1533-position model. The record is from RNAcentral.
UACGUAGGGUCCGAGCGUUGUCCGGAAUUACUGGGCGUAAAGAGCUCGUAGGUGGUUUGUCGCGUUGUUCGUGAAAACUCACAGCUUAACUGUGGGCGUGCGGGCGAUACGGGCAGACUGGAGUACUGCAGGGGAGACUGGAAUUCCUGGUGUAGCGGUGAAAUGCGCAGAUAUCAGGAGGAACACCGGUGGCGAAGGCGGGUCUCUGGGCCGUUACUGACGCUGAGGAGCGAAAGCGUGGGGAGCGAACAGG